RNAcentral lists this ribosomal RNA (236 nucleotides) under uncultured bacterium. RNAcentral describes it as "partial 16S ribosomal RNA". It matches the Rfam family "Bacterial small subunit ribosomal RNA", at positions 97 to 334 of the family's 1533-position model. The record is from RNAcentral.
GGCGGACGGGUGAGUAAUACUUAGGAAUCUGCCCAUUAGUGGGGGACAACUCGGGGAAACUCGAGCUAAUACCGCAUACGCCCUACGGGGGAAAGCGGAGGACCUUUCGGGGCUUCGCGCUAUGGAUGAGCCUAAGUCGGAUUAGCUUGUUGGUGAGGUAAAAGGCUCACCAAGGCGACGAUCCGUAGCUGGUCUGAGAGGACGAUCAGCCACACUGGGACUGAGACACGGCCCAG